CAUAUUGGUUAACUUGCUUAGUUUUAGAAGUAUUGGGUAUAUUUUGAAAAACAUUUAAAAUUAAUCCCAUGGUUACGUUUCAGCUUUCAACGAAUUCGAAAAGUGUUUGUAAGUAUGCCUCUUGCGUAAGCAGUUAUUUCGCAUUCGAUCUUAUCGCUUAUUAUUAAAAUAAUCCAGGAAGACUGUUAAGAGUUGUACACAUAAUAAUAUAUACGUGAUAGGUAUCCGGAUUCUAUUUUUGAUAGGGAAUAAUGAUAAACAAAUCCUGCUCGCCCGAACAUGUACAUUCAGUAUUUGAUUAAACGGAAUUCGUAAAACACGCACGAUUCACGUUACUCUAUGUACCUUCAAAACGGCCAUGUUUUUUUUCGCAGUAUUAUACAUUUCUGUGAUUAAAUUUGAAAUACUUUCC
Cinara cedri is the source of this 412-nucleotide non-coding RNA. Lineage: Eukaryota; Metazoa; Arthropoda; Insecta; Hemiptera; Aphididae. The record is from the annotation of a GenBank genome assembly.